GGACCCGCACAAGUAGUGGAGCAUGUGGUUUAAUUCGAUGAUACGCGAGGAACCUUACCAGGGCUUAAAUGUAGUGGGACAGGUCUAGAGAUAGACCCUUCUUCGGACUCAUUACAAGGUGCUGCAUGGUUGUCGUCAGCUCGUGCCGUGAGGUGUCAGGUUAAGUCCCGCAACGAGCGCAACCCACGUCUUUAGUUGCCAGCAUGUAAUGAUGGGAACUCUAACGGGACUGCCGGUGCAAACCGCGAGGAAGGUGGGGAUGACGUCAAAUCAUCACGGCCCUUACGUCCUGGGCUACACACGUGCUACAAUGGCCGGUACAGAGGGCAGCCACACCGCAAGGUGGAGCGAAUCCUUAAAACCGGUCUCAGUUCGGAUCGGGGUCUGCAACUCGGCCCCGUGAAGCUGGAAUC
RNAcentral lists this ribosomal RNA (413 nucleotides) under uncultured bacterium. RNAcentral describes it as "bacterial SSU rRNA". It matches the Rfam family "Bacterial small subunit ribosomal RNA", at positions 917 to 1333 of the family's 1533-position model. The record is from RNAcentral.